This 484-nucleotide ribosomal RNA is filed under the name uncultured bacterium. RNAcentral describes it as "partial 16S ribosomal RNA". It matches the Rfam family "Bacterial small subunit ribosomal RNA", at positions 28 to 507 of the family's 1533-position model. The record is from RNAcentral.
AUUGAACGCUGGCGGCAUGCUUUACACAUGCAAGUCGAACGGCAGCGCGGGCUUCGGCCUGGCGGCGAGUGGCGAACGGGUGAGUAAUGCAUCCGAACGUGCCCAGUAGUGGGGGAUAGCCCGGCGAAAGCCGGAUUAAUACCGCAUACGACCUGAGGGUGAAAGCGGGGGACCGAAAGGCCUCGCGCUAUUGGAGCGGCCGAUGUCGGAUUAGCUAGUUGGUGGGGUAAAGGCUUACCAAGGCGACGAUCCGUAGCUGGUCUGAGAGGACGACCAGCCACACUGGGACUGAGACACGGCCCAGACUCCUACGGGAGGCAGCAGUGGGGAAUUUUGGACAAUGGGGGCAACCCUGAUCCAGCCAUGCCGCGUGCGGGAAGAAGGCCUUCGGGUUGUAAACCGCUUUUGUUCGGGAAGAAAUCCUCUGGGCUAAUACCCCGGGGGGAUGACGGUACCGGAAGAAUAAGCACCGGCUAACUACGUG